Molecule: ribosomal RNA, 423 nt
Filed under: uncultured bacterium
Lineage: Bacteria
Description: bacterial SSU rRNA
Rfam family: Bacterial small subunit ribosomal RNA
Source: RNAcentral
GGGGAAUUUUGGACAAUGGGCGCAAGCCUGAUCCAGCCAUGCCGCGUGCGGGAAUAAGGCCUUCGGGUUGUAAACCGCUUUUGUCAGGGAAGAAAUCCUUUGAGCUAAUACCUCGUGGGAUGACGGUACCUGAAGAAUAAGCACCGGCUAACUACGUGCCAGCAUCCGCGGUAAUACGUAGGGUGCAAGCUUUAAUCGGAAUUACUGGGCGUAAUGCGUGCGCAGGCGGUUAUGCAAGACAGAGGUGAAAUCCCCGGGCUCAACCUGGGAACUGCCUUUGUGACUGAAUAGCUAGAGUACGGUAGAGGGGGAUGGAAUUCCGCGUGUAGCAGUGAAAUGCGUAGAUAUGCGGAGGAACACCGAUGGCGAAGGCAAUCCACUGGACCUGUACUGACGCUCAUGCACGAAAGCGUGGGGAGAAAA